AUUGAACGCUGGCGGCAGGCCUAACACAUGCAAGUCGAGCGGAUGAAGGGAGCUUGCUCCUGGAUUCAGCGGCGGACGGGUGAGUAAUGCCUAGGAAUCUGCCUGGUAGUGGGGGAUAACGUCCGGAAACGGGCGCUAAUACCGCAUACGUCCUGAGGGAGAAAGUGGGGGGUCUUCGGACCUCACGCUAUCAGAUGAGCCUAGGUCGGAUUAGCUAGUUGGUGGGGUAAAGGCCUACCAAGGCGACGAUCCGUAACUGGUCUGAGAGGAUGAUGAGGCACACGGGAACUGGGCCGCGGUCCAGACUCCUAGGGGAGGCCGCAGUGGGGACUAUUGGACAAUGGGGGAAAGCCUGAUCCAGCCAUGCCGCGUGUGUGAAGAAGGUCUUCGGAUUGUAAAGCACUUUAAGUUGGGAGGACGGGCAGUAAGUGAAUACCUUCCUGUUGUGACGUUACCAACAGAAUAAGCACCGGCUAACUUCGUG
Molecule: ribosomal RNA, 484 nt
Filed under: uncultured bacterium
Lineage: Bacteria
Description: partial 16S ribosomal RNA
Rfam family: Bacterial small subunit ribosomal RNA
Source: RNAcentral